Lytechinus variegatus (green sea urchin) is the source of this 1029-nucleotide long non-coding RNA. RefSeq lists it as uncharacterized. NCBI's taxonomy places the organism in Eukaryota, Metazoa, Echinodermata, Echinoidea, Temnopleuroida, Toxopneustidae. The record is from RefSeq and is a predicted model, not a curated record. The transcript has 2 exons.
CAGCGACGGGUCUAGCCAGGUUAGAUACAAUUCCAUUUUGAGGGCACAGUUAUUUGUGCAUUAUGGUAAUCCCCUCCAAAGAAUAGUUUCUUACCAGACUAAAUCAGAAACUGCUUGAAUUUUCAACUUUAAGUAGGUUCUGUGAUUGAAAUAUCAGAAUAGAAAACACAAAUACUGUUUGGCAAUUCCAUAAAAUAGUCAACAUUUUUGUACAUCCAACCCCCAUUUUUCUCAAGUUUUACUUCACUUCAUAAGUCCCUAGGGGGUCAGACGUACAUAUUUUAUGAAAUUACCCUGUUGCAAUUUAGGCUUACUGAAAUAUGUGAUAUUCAGAUAUGAAAAAAAAAACAGAAUAAAAGUUGAUCAUUCUUUUUGUUUUUGGAGAAAUUCACAAUGCAUCCUUUUUUUACAUUUUGUAUAAAUAUAAGUAGUUUUUUUUUCCAAAGAUGUGGCUAAAUGAGAUUGCUUAAAGCACACAAUCAUCCACAUUGCACAUUUAAACAGUACACAUCUAUAAAUUCAAUUAACCUUUAAGUCAUCUCACCGGGGAUUUAAUACCAUUGGUGCUUAUCGAGAUGCUGUCAAAUCCCACAAAGUGAAAAAAAUAGAGAUUUUUAUGACAAAGAAGUGUGAGGUUAUGCAUUACAUAUUCCACACCCUGCCUCACACGUUAAAGUCAUAUUCUCCCUUUCCCUGGCCGAAAAUGCCCAAAGCUGAUUAAGUAAGAAUAAAUGUCUAUAUUAUGAUGGCUUGCCAGCUGUGCUUUAAUCAAUGUAGCAUCAUAGUUAUUUCCAGUUCUCUUCACAAUUUUGGGAAUCAACUCCUCAGAGAGGACCUUAAGCCGUACAUCCUCUGGUUGAUUGCUUACACGCAUUCAUGCUUUCUUAGCAAUAAGGUAAAAAAUCAAAACCAUUUACCAUUUCCCAUAAAGAUAGUGAGCCUUCAAUACAAAUACAUCAUUUGAAAAUUUUCUUCUAUGCCAUAUUGGUGAAGAAUGAAUUAUUUCAUUGAUACCUCGGUAAAAAACAA